Molecule: long non-coding RNA, 327 nt
Filed under: Pandoravirus neocaledonia
Description: hypothetical ncRNA
Source: RNAcentral
UCAUGAUCGACAUGGACUUGUUGGAGAUGCCCACGUCGGGGUGCACCUGCUUGAGCACGCGGUAGAUAAAGGUCGAGUAGGAGGCAUAGUCCUUCUUGUGGCGGUGCGUCUUGCGCUUGACGCCGUCGAGCGAUUCGGUCUUGCCUACGCCGCCCAAAGCCGCGCCCUUUUUCUUCUUGGCGAUCUUCUUGGUCUUUUUGGCGGCACCGGGCUCGUGUUUGGCGACGGUAUCGGCCGCGGCGCCAAUGUCCCCGGUGCCGAGGCCGCUGGUUUGGUCCUCAAGCGUGGGCGGGGCGGCCACGGGCGCGUCCGUGUCCAUGGGCAGCG